Molecule: small nucleolar RNA, 135 nt
Organism: Betta splendens (Siamese fighting fish)
Lineage: Eukaryota; Metazoa; Chordata; Actinopteri; Anabantiformes; Osphronemidae
Product: small nucleolar RNA SNORA13
Source: Ensembl
UGCCUUCAUGUGUUGCCCGUUUGUUGCUCUCUUCAAUAAAUGUGGCGUCAGCGAAGGCAUACAGCAAAUCUUGGAUCGGCCUUGGCAAGGUUCUCAUCCGCUAACCUUGUUCUAAGUUUUAGUCCAAGUACAGAU